RNAcentral lists this long non-coding RNA (1260 nucleotides) under Homo sapiens (human). RNAcentral describes it as "long non-coding RNA NONHSAT152753.1". The record is from RNAcentral. Lineage: Eukaryota; Metazoa; Chordata; Mammalia; Primates; Hominidae.
GCACGGGGCACUGGCCUGGGCAGGUGGCGGGAACGUUGCUGGGGUGGGCAUCUGUGCUUUCGGCUGCCCUCUGGCCCAGGAAAUUCCUCCCAGGGGCCAGGCCAGAGAUGGGCCAGGCAGGGGGAGGGCAAGUGAGGGAACAUGAACCCCUGGCUGACCUGAGUCAGAAAGCUGCUGGCCCCUAAAUUCCAGAGAUUCAGCAACAAAGAGGCCUAGUAGGGAGAGGAGUUACUAGGUUUAGGGGUUUUUCCCAGAACACCCAGGACUCUGGCCAGGGGCUGGAAGGUGCUCCAGGCUCAAUGCUGGGCAAUACUCAUGGAUUAAUUGGUGCUGGCUGGGCCUGCCAGCCUAGUCGUGGCCCCAGGGUCCCCACUAAAGGGCUCCUUCUCCAGCGCCCACUCUGUUGGCAAGGUCUUCACUACCAUCACCUGCCUGGACUCCAUCCAAGCAUCAGGGUUGCUGCAGUCGCUCCUGAAGAGACCCGGCUCUGCUUGAAAGUUCUUCCCUCAGCGCCUGCUGGAGCCCUCCCUGCCGGAGUUGCCAGAAUCCACACGCAUCUGGCUGGGGCUCCCGGGAUGGCGGGGUGAACAGGAGGAUGUACGAGAAAAAUGAGAAGGCUGUCAGCUCCCUUGCCUUCUUGGGGCUUCCUCACCGCUGACAUGGAGCUGAGAUAAGGAAUCCCUACAGGCUGGCAGCUUGAGAUAAGUGAGAAAGACUUGGAUUUGACUGCAUUCCGGGCAUUUGAGAUACUUGGAAGAGAUCAGAAUUCAGCUUCCCCAGGGACAGCAAGGCCAAGAAGGUGUCCAGAUCCUGGCCUCUCUCCAGAUCUUGGACUCUCUCAAGGCCAAGACUCUCUCUCUUAAGAUCUCUAUCUCAAGGCCAAGAUCUCUCUCCAGAUAUUGGCCUCUCUCAAGGUACUUCCAAGAUCUCAGAGGGCCAUUCACUGUGGAUCUAAUAUGAAGACAGAGAAACCAGCCUUCCAGAGGAGCGGACACAUUUCCUUAGUCCCAGGAUACACUUUGUGUGGAAUCCACAGAUCUGCCCUGAUGAUCAUGAAGGAAUGCGAAAGAGCCUGGUAAAACGAUAUGGACUUGUGCAAAUGCAAAGCAAUGGUGAAGUCAUCACGAACCGCACAGACUGGACAGAACUCCUAUCUGGCUGCAAUGGCUUGGGUUCAGUCAGCCCAGGGGCCAGAGAAUUGGCUACAAAGAGCUCUGGAGUGCCCCUCCCUCCAAAUAAAGUAUUCUAAGCGUGCACUGA